UACGAAGGGUGCAAACGUUGCUCGGAAUCAUUGGGCGUAAAGCGCACGUAGGCGGCAUUCUAAGUCGGAUGUGAAAUCCCUCGGCUCAACCGAGGACGUGCAUCCGAAACUGGAACGCUCGAGUAUGGAAGAGGGUCGCGGAAUUCUCGGUGUAGAGGUGAAAUUCGUAGAUAUCGGGAGGAACACCAGUGGCGAAGGCGGCGACCUGGGCCAAUACUGACACUCAAGUGCGAAAGCGUGGGGAGCAAACAGG
RNAcentral lists this ribosomal RNA (253 nucleotides) under uncultured bacterium. RNAcentral's name for it is "partial 16S ribosomal RNA". It matches the Rfam family "Bacterial small subunit ribosomal RNA", at positions 524 to 776 of the family's 1533-position model. The record is from RNAcentral.